This 301-nucleotide ribosomal RNA is filed under the name uncultured bacterium. RNAcentral describes it as "partial 16S ribosomal RNA". It matches the Rfam family "Bacterial small subunit ribosomal RNA", at positions 509 to 807 of the family's 1533-position model. The record is from RNAcentral.
CAGUCGCCACGGUAAUACGAAGGGGGCUAGCGUUGCUCGGAAUGACUGGGCGUAAAGGGCGCGUAGGCGGCGGCCAAAGUCAGGCGUGAAAUUCCCGGGCUCAACCUGGGGGCUGCGUUUGAUACUUGGUUGCUUGAGUGGGGAAGAGGGUCGUGGAAUUCCCAGUGUAGAGGUGAAAUUCGUAGAUAUUGGGAAGAACACCGGUGGCGAAGGCGGCGACCUGGUCCUUCACUGACGCUGAGGCGCGAAAGCGUGGGGAGCAAACAGGAUUAGAUACCCCUGUAGUCCCUGUCUCUUAUAC